GGAAGACCUCUCCUCCAGGAGAGCGUAUCAGGAACAAGCUCUUAAAAGAGCUAAGUGAUUAAAGCUCAAGGGAGUAUGCAGAACACCCUCAGACACUCCCACACAAAAUCCUCUGCCUCUGAUAUAAUCACUGAACACAAUGGUCUAACUUAAUUAUCACAGGCAGGAAAAUACACAGUUUUACACAAUAUUCAUAACUCUAAAGGUAUACAUCACAGUCACAUAAAACUUACAUUUUCAGAAUCAGCAUACUCCAAAUACAAACAUACGGCAAAAUCAUACAAAUUGGUCCAGUGGGUCAAAAGUUAGUUGAAAGUCCCUUUGUGACCAUCUGCAAGCAUGGCUUGGGUGUGGUAAGCCAAUUACCUCCAGCAUACAGAAAAUAGCUCUAUUCACAACAACAGUAAAAACACAUAAAAAUAAAUAAUUCCUAUUAUACUUAACAGAACUCCCACAUUCAUGGUCCGAGCGCUCACUAUAUCCGAACAGCGCUCAGAUGCCACAAAC
Pelobates cultripes (western spadefoot toad) is the source of this 507-nucleotide non-coding RNA. NCBI's taxonomy places the organism in Eukaryota, Metazoa, Chordata, Amphibia, Anura, Pelobatidae. The record is from the annotation of a GenBank genome assembly.